AGCCUACGGGUGCACAGAAGUGCUGUGUACGCGAUUUCUGGGAAGACCCCACACACGAUCUACAGAACGAGCCUGCAGCUUUCGGGCUUACCCUUAUAGUAACCUGUGUUUCCGGAUCACUCAUCCCAAUGGUAUGUGUUUUAAAGGAGCCGAGUGCCGAAGGCGGGGCGGAUUGUGGUGGUGGUAUUGCUUCAUGAGUGCUGUGUUGUGUGCCGUGGUGUGUGUGAGUGUCUACACAGGUGCAACCAAAAGUUGUGUGGUGCUGUGGAGGCCGAUUAGUGCCCUUGAUCCCCGUUGUUACGCCUUGGCUCCUGCAUCCACAUCUAUAAAGGUGUCUGAUUAUUGAAGUUAUCUGUGUUAUGGUUGAGUAAUUCCUGUUUUUGGUUUUCCAUUAGGUGCAUCAGAUACUUUUAUCAUUAAUAAAAAUCCAUACUAAUUUUA
This is a long non-coding RNA of Silurus meridionalis, 441 nucleotides long. RefSeq lists it as uncharacterized. NCBI's taxonomy places the organism in Eukaryota, Metazoa, Chordata, Actinopteri, Siluriformes, Siluridae. The record is from RefSeq and is a predicted model, not a curated record. The transcript is spliced from 3 exons.